Molecule: ribosomal RNA, 425 nt
Filed under: uncultured bacterium
Lineage: Bacteria
Description: partial 16S ribosomal RNA
Rfam family: Bacterial small subunit ribosomal RNA
Source: RNAcentral
GUGGGGAAUAUUGGACAAUGGGCGCAAGCCUGAUCCAGCCAUGCCGCGUGAGUGAUGAAGGCCUUAGGGUUGUAAAGCUCUUUUGUCCGGGAAGAUAAUGACUGUACCGGAAGAAUAAGCCCCGGCUAACUUCGUGCCAGCAGCCGCGGUAAUACGAAGGGGGCUAGCGUUGUUCGGAAUCACUGGGCGUAAAGCGCACGUAGGCGGACCAUUAAGUCAGGGGUGAAAGCCUGGAGCUCAACUCCAGAACUGCCUUUGAUACUGAUGGUCUCGAGUAUGGAAGAGGUUGGUGGAACUGCGAGUGUAGAGGUGAAAUUCGUAGAUAUUCGCAAGAACACCGGUGGCGAAGGCGGCCAACUGGUCCAUUACUGACGCUGAGGUGCGAAAGCGUGGGGAGCAAACAGGAUUAGAUACCAUAGUAGUCC